UCGCCCCUGUUUUUUUCAAAAACAUCGCCUCUUGAUUAAACAUAAGAGGUCCAGCCUGCCCAGUGACAUAGUUUAACGGCCGCGGUACCCUAACCGUGCGAAGGUAGCAUAAUCACUUGUUCUUUAAAUAGGGACUCGUAUCAACGGCAUCACGAGGGCUAUACUGUCUCCUUUCUCCAAUCAAUGAAACUGAUCUCCCCGUGAAGAAGCGGGGAUUAACCUAUAAGACGAGAAGACCCCAUGGAGCUUCAAACUCAACAUAUACCUCUACGCACUUAAACCACUUUAGCCCAAGAGACCUCUAUGUUAGUUUUGGGUUGGGGGGACCGCGGAGUAAAAAUUAACCUCCACGACAAACGGGCUUUAUGCCCUUAUCCACGAACCACAGCUCUAAGAAUCAAUAAACUGAUGUUUAUGACCCGAUUAUUCGAUCAACGAACCAAGUUACCCUGGGGAUAACAGCGCAAUCUACUUCAAGAGCCCCUAUCGACAAGUAGGUUUACGACCUCGAUGUUGGAUCAGGGUAUCCUAGUGGUGCAGCCGCUACUAAUGGUUCGUUUGUUCAACGAUUAAAACCCUACGUGAUCUGAGUUCCCAAACCGGA
This 604-nucleotide ribosomal RNA is filed under the name Pelophylax nigromaculatus (dark-spotted frog). RNAcentral's name for it is "partial large subunit ribosomal RNA". It matches the Rfam family "Bacterial large subunit ribosomal RNA", at positions 1791 to 2622 of the family's 2925-position model. The record is from RNAcentral. Lineage: Eukaryota; Metazoa; Chordata; Amphibia; Anura; Ranidae.